UGGGGAAUAUUGCACAAUGGGGGGAACCCUGAUGCAGCGACGCCGCGUGAGUGAAGAAGUAUUUCGGUACGUAAAGCUCUAUCAGCAGGGAAGAAAAAAGGACGGUACCUGAGUAAGAAGCCCCGGCUAACUACGUGCCAGCAGCCGCGGUAAUACGUAGGGGGCAAGCGUUAUCCGGAAUUACUGGGUGUAAAGGGAGCGUAGACGGCAAUGCAAGUCCGGAGUGGAAUGCGGCAGCUCAACUGCCGAACUGCUCUGGAAACUGUAUGGCUUGAGUGCAGGAGGGGUAAGCGGAAUUCCUGG
This 303-nucleotide ribosomal RNA is filed under the name uncultured bacterium. RNAcentral's name for it is "bacterial SSU rRNA". It matches the Rfam family "Bacterial small subunit ribosomal RNA", at positions 355 to 673 of the family's 1533-position model. The record is from RNAcentral.